This 58-nucleotide microRNA precursor is filed under the name Branchiostoma floridae (Florida lancelet). Its description in RNAcentral is "Bfl-Mir-22-o3e_pre stem-loop". It matches the Rfam family "mir-4900 microRNA precursor family", at positions 10 to 68 of the family's 75-position model. Lineage: Eukaryota; Metazoa; Chordata; Leptocardii; Amphioxiformes; Branchiostomatidae. The record is from RNAcentral.
UUUUCUUCCUUGGCACAGCUCUGUGACAGUGGAACAUAGCUGGCUGGCGAAGAAAUGC